This 83-nucleotide transfer RNA is filed under the name Treponema sp. RNAcentral's name for it is "tRNA-Leu". It matches the Rfam family "tRNA". Rfam says of the family: Transfer RNA (tRNA) molecules are approximately 80 nucleotides in length. Lineage: Bacteria; Pseudomonadati; Spirochaetota; Spirochaetia; Treponematales; Treponemataceae. The record is from RNAcentral.
GCCCAGAUGGUGGAAUUGGUAGACACGCUGGUUUCAGGUACCAGUGCCUAAACAGCAUGGGAGUUCAAAUCUCCCUCUGGGCA